CCCAUAAAACUAUUCUCAGUUCGGAUUGUAGGCUGCAACUCGCCUACAUGAAGCCGGAAUCGCUAGUAAUCGUGGAUCAGCAUGCCACGGUGAAUACGUUCCCGGGCCUUGUACACACCGCCCGUCACACCACGAGAGUUUGUAACACCCGAAGUCGGUAGGGUAACCUUUAUGGAGCCAGCCGCCGAAGGUGGGACAGAUAAUUGGGGUGAAGUCGUAACAAGGUAGCCGUAUCGGAAGGUGCGGCUGGAUCACCU
RNAcentral lists this ribosomal RNA (257 nucleotides) under Listeria monocytogenes. RNAcentral describes it as "partial 16S ribosomal RNA". It matches the Rfam family "Bacterial small subunit ribosomal RNA", at positions 1273 to 1528 of the family's 1533-position model. Lineage: Bacteria; Bacillati; Bacillota; Bacilli; Caryophanales; Listeriaceae. The record is from RNAcentral.